RNAcentral lists this ribosomal RNA (253 nucleotides) under uncultured bacterium. RNAcentral's name for it is "partial 16S ribosomal RNA". It matches the Rfam family "Bacterial small subunit ribosomal RNA", at positions 524 to 776 of the family's 1533-position model. The record is from RNAcentral.
UACGUAGGGGGCUAGCGUUGUCCGGAUUUAUUGGGCGUAAAGAGCGUGUAGGCGGCCAGGUAGGUCUGCUGUGAAAACUCGAGGCUCAACCUCGAGACGUCGGCGGAAACCAUCUGGCUAGAGUCCGGAAGAGGAGCGUGGAAUUCCUGGUGUAGCGGUGAAAUGCGCAGAUAUCGGGAAGAACACCCGUGGCGAAGGCGGCUCUCUGGGACGGUACUGACGCUGAGACGCGAAAGCGUGGGGAGCGAACAGG